This 329-nucleotide unclassified non-coding RNA is filed under the name soil metagenome. RNAcentral's name for it is "partial contains 5.8S ribosomal RNA, internal transcribed spacer 2, and large subunit ribosomal RNA". The stretch from base 1 to 120 matches the Rfam family "5.8S ribosomal RNA", at positions 35 to 154 of the family's 154-position model. The record is from RNAcentral.
GAUGAAGAACGUAGUGAAAUGCGAUAAGUAGUGUGAAUUGCAGAAUUCAGUGAAUCAUCGAAUCUUUGAACGCACAUUGCGCCCCUUGGUAUUCCAUGGGGCAUGCCUGUUCGAGCGUCAUCUACACCCUCAAGCUCUGCUUGGUGUUGGGCCCCGCCGCCCCGGCGGGCCCUAAAGUCAGUGGCGGUGCCGUCCGGCUCCGAGCGUAGUAAUUCUUCUCGCUCUGGAGGUCCGGUCGUGUGCUCGCCAGCAACCCCCAAUUUUUUUCAGGUUGACCUCGGAUCAGGUAGGGAUACCCGCUGAACUUAAGCAUAUCAAUAAGCGGAGGA